GGCGAGGGAGAGGGCAUCACGCAGUAGCCCUGGCCGCUGCCGGUGCAGACCAAACAGUUAAUCGCUAGGCGGGGCGGCCUUGAGAGCAUAUAGAGGUCGAGAGGGGAGAGAGUUAUAGUUGUGGCUGCGCUGAGAGGUGAGAUUAUUGUAUGAUGUCAGUGGAGGGAGGAGCACGCUGGCAAGGAGGAGCAGCCGUGGCCUCGACCAUAUGACGCGGAAGGCGCGCGCUACAGGAAAUUGAUUGGCUCAUGCUGGCUAUUUGGAGAGCAGAGACAUUCAUAGGCGAUUAUCACGGUGCCGCGGCUGCUUGCUAUCGAGGGCUGCAGGCUAUGGCCUACGGCUGAAGAGAGAAAAUAGGUUGUUGUUUGGGGUGUGCUAUUGCUGGUAUUGCUGCCACGUGCUAGAUGUUAUUGAGAAACAGAGAUUACAAGCUGCUAGAUGUCACUACUGCAUUAACUAGAAGCUGCUACAUCAUACGGAGUACAUCUCAACUUCAGUUUGAGAACUGUUAGCAACCUUUCUUUUGUGACAAACCUUGAGCAUAUGGCGUGCCGUAUGUGCCACUACUAGCAACGACGAGCUAGAACCAGGAGGCUGAUAUAGUGGGUGGACGAAGAAGAAGACAAAGAAGGCGUGCCGUAUGUGCCACUACUAGCAACGACGAGCUAGAACCAGGAGGCUGAUAUAGUGGGUGGACGAAGAAGAAGACAAAGAAGGUGCAUGUUUGAUAUAAUUGAAUUGCACUACUAGAAUAUCUCUGUCUCACCCUCAAAAAAAAUAUCUGUCUCCAAGCAUGAUUUUCGUGUCUUGUGUGUUGUGUUAUUUUAC
This is a long non-coding RNA of Triticum aestivum (bread wheat), 828 nucleotides long. RefSeq lists it as uncharacterized. Lineage: Eukaryota; Viridiplantae; Streptophyta; Magnoliopsida; Poales; Poaceae. The transcript has 3 exons. The record is from RefSeq and is a predicted model, not a curated record.